Paramuricea clavata is the source of this 948-nucleotide non-coding RNA. Lineage: Eukaryota; Metazoa; Cnidaria; Anthozoa; Malacalcyonacea; Plexauridae. The record is from the annotation of a GenBank genome assembly.
UGAAGUUACUCACAGGACUGUCACUGAGGUACGCUUAGGUUGGUGCAUUGAGAUACAUUGCUAUUUCUAGGACUCUACAGCUAGUAAUUGUAUUAAAGAGUGGCAAAGUGCAGAUCUUUUCAAUGGCAUGAUCGCUGUCGCGUACUCCAGCUAUCUUCCUUGUUUUGUUCCAGAAAGAGGACUUACAGCACACCUUAGCCAUUUCAGUUAAUCAACAGAUGGCUGUUUUUGGAAUUUUUUCCUCAGGUGAGGUUUAUAAAAACUUUCAUUUUUCCCUUUCUGAACAAAUCCUACCACUCUGUUACUGUAGAUUUUAGGAUCUUAUCUAUCUGUCACUCCCUACCACUCUCUUCGGUGGAACCAGGAGGGCAAUUAUCUGUCACUCUCUUGCUUCGUACAAAAUCGAGGUCACAAAUCCAGGCCAUUGUUUUUUCCAUUGUAUAGGUAUAGGCAUAUUUUUUAAUAUACGAUGUACAGUAAGUUUAUCACAAUGUACAAUCAGUAUAAGGAGCAAGACAACGUAUAGCCUAUAUAUCGAAGAACUAGAACCUAACUCGAUUCCUUCAGUAUUAUAUACUGUAGAUGUUAUAGGCUGCAUGAUACCUAUGAUGCCCCUAUAAAAACGUUAAGUCGUCACGAAAAUAUUUCGUGCACUUGAAUUGGAUAAGAUUCACUAACAAUCCCCGUUGACUCGAUAUCUCAAUGGGCAGAGCGACGGUGUAGCUAUAGAUAACGAUUUUUUUUUACUCUGCGGCGGUGUCAAAAUAAUACGAAACUAGUUUUUCAUAUCUCGCAGGAUGAGUUCUGAAACGAAAGUUAUAUAUACACAUUUAGUUGUUUUCAAAUUUUUUUUAUAUUUAUAGAUUUACAAUGUUUUAGCACUGAGACCGUGCAUGAAUUCCGAAGCGAGUGAACUGGCAAGGUAUUUCAAAACCUUACUUCCAAGUA